UACGAAGGGGGCUAGCGUUGUUCGGAUUUACUGGGCGUAAAGCGCACGUAGGCGGAUUGUUAAGUCGGGGGUGAAAGCCUGUGGCUCAACCACAGAAUUGCCUUCGAUACUGUUUGGCUUGAGACCGGAAGAGGUUAGUGGAACUGCGAGUGUAGAGGUGAAAUUCGUAGAUAUUCGCAAGAACACCAGUGGCGAAGGCGGCUGACUGGUCCGGUUCUGACGCUGAGGUGCGAAAGCGUGGGGAGCAAACAGG
RNAcentral lists this ribosomal RNA (253 nucleotides) under uncultured bacterium. RNAcentral describes it as "partial 16S ribosomal RNA". It matches the Rfam family "Bacterial small subunit ribosomal RNA", at positions 524 to 776 of the family's 1533-position model. The record is from RNAcentral.